Long non-coding RNA from Passer domesticus (house sparrow), 399 nucleotides. RefSeq lists it as uncharacterized. The record is from RefSeq and is a predicted model, not a curated record. NCBI's taxonomy places the organism in Eukaryota, Metazoa, Chordata, Aves, Passeriformes, Passeridae. The transcript has 2 exons.
UCCUCUGUGACUGCCCCACCUCCCCAGGUGUCACAGGUGUGAGCCCCUGCAAGAGGAACCCAACAGUGACAGGGACAAUGGUUCACCCAGCACACAGGUGCCACUGGGGUUAAGUCAGCCUGUGCCCUGCAAAAAAGCUGCUCCCAUAAAGAAGAAAAGACAGAUCAUUGUCACAGAUGGUUCCUGGAGGGAAUGAAGGCCAAAAUGCCCACCAGACCACCCUUAGGGGAAGUCUGCUGCCUCCUUGGGGUUCAAGUUACAUGUGUGAUGAGAAACCUUCCUGCCCUCGUGGAAUAGAUGCUGGAGGUGCUUGCAGUGCUUCAGUUCUGUGCUGAAGAGGACAUUUUAAUGCAGCAGCUGAUUUGACCUUAAUAAAGACCUUACAAUCACAAGUUUUAA